AGAGUUUGAUCAUGGCUCAGGACGAACGCUUGCGGCGUGCCUAAGAAAUGCAAGUCGAGCGGGGGCAGCAAUGCCCCAGCGGCGAACGGUCGCGUAACACGUAAGCAACCUGCCCGGAAGUGGGGGACAACGGCCCGAAAGGGCCGCUAAUACCGCAUGUGGCCGGCGAGGGGCAUCCCUCGCCGUCUGAAGCCUUGUGCGCUUCCGGAUGGGCUUGCGGCCUAUCAGCUUGUUGGCGGGGUGACGGCCCACCAAGGCUUCGACGGGUAGCUGGUCUGAGAGGACGAUCAGCCGGAUUGGGACUGAGAUACGGCCCAGACUCCUACGGGGGGCAGCAAUUAGGAAUCUUGCGCAAUGGGGGCAACCCUGACGCAGCGACGCCGCGUGGAGGAGGAAGGCCCUCGGGUCGUAAACUCCUUUUGACAGGGAAGAAGGAUGUGACGGUACCUGUCGAAUAAGCCCCGGCUAACUACGUGCCAGCAGCCGCGGUAAUACGUAGGGGGCGAGCGUUGUCCGAAGUUACUGGGCGUAAAGCGCGCGUAGGCGGCCUCUUAAGUUCGGGGUGAAAGGUCCAGCGCUCAACGCGGACAGUGCCUUGGAUACUGGGGGGCUUGAGUGUGGGAGGGGGUAGCGGAAUUCCGGGUGUAGCGGUGAAAUGCGUAGAUAUCCGGAGGAACACCGAUGGCGAAGGCAGCUACCUGGCCUGACACUGACGCUGAGGUGCGAAAGCGUGGGGAGCGAACGGGAUUAGAUACCCCAGUAGUCC
Molecule: ribosomal RNA, 766 nt
Filed under: uncultured soil bacterium
Lineage: Bacteria
Description: bacterial SSU rRNA
Rfam family: Bacterial small subunit ribosomal RNA
Source: RNAcentral